RNAcentral lists this ribosomal RNA (403 nucleotides) under uncultured organism. Its description in RNAcentral is "bacterial SSU rRNA". It matches the Rfam family "Bacterial small subunit ribosomal RNA", at positions 45 to 433 of the family's 1533-position model. The record is from RNAcentral.
UGCCUAACACAUGCAAGUCGCACGAGAAAGUCCCGCAAGGGAUGAGUAAAGUGGCGCACGGGUGAGUAACACGUAGGUAACCUGCCUCUAAGACCGGGAUAACCCGUCGAAAGAUGGGCUAAUACCGGAUAAGACCACAGAAGCUGUGGCUCCAGGGGUCAAAGGUAGCCUCUGCAUGCAAGCUAUCACUUAGAGAUGGGCCUGCGCACCAUUAGCUAGUUGGUGGGGUAACGGCCUACCAAGGCAAAGAUGGUUAGCUGGUCUGAGAGGAUGAUCAGCCACACUGGGACUGAGACACGGCCCAGACUCCUACGGGAGGCAGCAGUGGGGAAUCUUGCGCAAUGGGCGAAAGCCUGACUCAGCUCUCCGCGUGGCUGAUGAAGGCCUUCGGGUCGUAAAGCCC